ACAAUGAAGAGUUUGAUCCUGGCUCAGGAUGAACGCUAGCUACAGGCUUAACACAUGCAAGUCGAGGGGCAGCAUUUCAGUUUGCUUGCAAACUGGAGAUGGCGACCGGCGCACGGGUGAGUAACACGUAUCCAACCUGCCGAUAACUCGGGGAUAGCCUUUCGAAAGAAAGAUUAAUACCCGAUGGUAUAAUCAGACCGCAUGGUCUUGUUAUUAAAGAAUUUCGGUUAUCGAUGGGGAUGCGUUCCAUUAGGCAGUUGGUGAGGUAACGGCUCACCAAACCUUCGAUGGAUAGGGGUUCUGAGAGGAAGGUCCCCCACAUUGGAACUGAGACACGGUCCAAACUCCUACGGGAGGCAGCAGUGAGGAAUAUUGGUCAAUGGGCGCAGGCCUGAACCAGCCAAGUAGCGUGAAGGAUGACUGCCCUAUGGGUUGUAAACUUCUUUUAUAUGGGAAUAAAGUUUUCCACGUGUGGAAUUUUGUAUGUACCAUAUGAAUAAGGAUCGGCUAACUCCGUGCCAGCAGCCGCGGUAAUACGGAGGAUCCGAGCGUUAUCCGGAUUUAUUGGGUUUAAAGGGAGCGUAGGUGGACAGUUAAGUCAGUUGUGAAAGUUUGCGGCUCAACCGUAAAAUUGCAGUUGAUACUGGCUGUCUUGAGUACAGUAGAGGUGGGCGGAAUUCGUGGUGUAGCGGUGAAAUGCUUAGAUAUCACGAAGAACUCCGAUUGCGAAGGCAGCUCACUGGACUGCAACUGACACUGAUGCUCGAAAGUGUGGGUAUCAAACAGGAUUAGAUACCCUGGUAGUCCACACAGUAAACGAUGAAUACUCGCUGUUUGCGAUAUACAGUAAGCGGCCAAGCGAAAGCAUUAAGUAUUCCACCUGGGGAGUACGCCGGCAACGGUGAAACUCAAAGGAAUUGACGGGGGGCCCGCACAAGCGGAGGAACAUGUGGUUUAAUUCGAUGAUACGCGAGGAACCUUACCCGGGCUUAAAUUGCAUUUGAAUAAUCUGGAAACAGGUUAGCCGCAAGGCAAAUGUGAAGGUGCUGCAUGGUUGUCGUCAGCUCGUGCCGUGAGGUGUCGGCUUAAGUGCCAUAACGAGCGCAACCCUUAUCUUUAGUUACUAACAGGUCAUGCUGAGGACUCUAGAGAGACUGCCGUCGUAAGAUGUGAGGAAGGUGGGGAUGACGUCAAAUCAGCACGGCCCUUACGUCCGGGGCUACACACGUGUUACAAUGGGGGGUACAGAAGGCAGCUACCUGGUGACAGGAUGCUAAUCCCAAAAGCCUCUCUCAGUUCGGAUCGAAGUCUGCAACCCGACUUCGUGAAGCUGGAUUCGCUAGUAAUCGCGCAUCAGCCAUGGCGCGGUGAAUACGUUCCCGGGCCUUGUACACACCGCCCGUCAAGCCAUGAAAGCCGGGGGGUACCUGAAGUACGUAACCGCAAGGAGCGUCCUAGGGUAAAACUGGUAAUUGGGGCUAAGUCGUAACAAGGUAGCCGUACCGGAAGGUGCGGCUGGAACACCUCCUUU
This 1531-nucleotide ribosomal RNA is filed under the name Bacteroides thetaiotaomicron. RNAcentral's name for it is "bacterial SSU rRNA". It matches the Rfam family "Bacterial small subunit ribosomal RNA". Lineage: Bacteria; Pseudomonadati; Bacteroidota; Bacteroidia; Bacteroidales; Bacteroidaceae. The record is from RNAcentral.